UACGUAGGGGGCAAGCGUUGUCCGGAUUUAUUGGGCGUAAAGAGCGUGUAGGCGGUUUGGUAGGUCCGCUGUGAAAACUCGAGGCUCAACCUCGAGACGCCGGUGGAAACCAUCAGACUAGAGUCCGGAAGAGGAGAGUGGAAUUCCUGGUGUAGCGGUGAAAUGCGUAGAUAUCAGGAGGAACACCUGUGGCGAAAGCGGCUCACUGGACCAUAACUGACGCUGAUGCACGAAAGCUAGGGGAGCAAACAGG
RNAcentral lists this ribosomal RNA (253 nucleotides) under uncultured prokaryote. RNAcentral describes it as "partial 16S ribosomal RNA". It matches the Rfam family "Bacterial small subunit ribosomal RNA", at positions 524 to 776 of the family's 1533-position model. The record is from RNAcentral.